Molecule: non-coding RNA, 155 nt
Organism: Akkermansia sp.
Lineage: Bacteria; Pseudomonadati; Verrucomicrobiota; Verrucomicrobiia; Verrucomicrobiales; Akkermansiaceae
Source: Rfam
ACCGUAUUUUGUGCUUGCGGGGCCGUGAAGGCGGUGCUACAGUCCGUUCCAGCGUCCGGGUAACGGAAGGGGGUGGGAAUCCUCCACAGACGCGCUACCGUGAUUGGCUCGCAGAAGCCAUCAGUCGGGAGACGACCCGGAGCAAGAGUAUCACU